Long non-coding RNA from Drosophila yakuba, 377 nucleotides. RefSeq lists it as uncharacterized. The transcript is spliced from 2 exons. The record is from RefSeq and is a predicted model, not a curated record. Lineage: Eukaryota; Metazoa; Arthropoda; Insecta; Diptera; Drosophilidae.
UGUAUUAAGAUAUCUUUGAUUUUUAUAUCAAAUUUAAGUUCCCCUUCACUAAUUUUUGGAUAUUUUGGCUAACUACUUUUGGCCACAAACCGAUCUUUUGUCGCGCCAAAGUUAAUGUACCAGCGGCACUUUUCCAAUCUCGCAUUUGAUGCGUUGGAUUCCACAUAUUUGGCCAGACUGAAAAAUAAUUUCAUGUUUAUGGCCACGUUGUUUUCACCGGCCACAAAAAUGCUUAUCGAACGGCUGAGAUCGCCAAGCGAGACUUUUGGCAUGUGCGAAAAUGUUUGUGGGAAGAAAUUGUGCACCUAACCCACACGUUUCACCUUCUGUUUGUUGAAAUAAUAAAUCUGAAGAAAGGUUGUUGUGUUUUUAAAGAC